This 3626-nucleotide unclassified non-coding RNA is filed under the name Cimex lectularius (bed bug). RNAcentral's name for it is "uncharacterized LOC112127093, transcript variant X4". The record is from RNAcentral. Lineage: Eukaryota; Metazoa; Arthropoda; Insecta; Hemiptera; Cimicidae.
AUCACCUGACAAGCCUACUCCUCAGAAAAACACUAAACAAGCCUCAAUGAACAUUGACAAAAUUGUAUAUAUUGAUCCACAAGAAAACAUGGACACAACAAACCUCCUUAUACAGGUCAAACAACUCAUUAACCCAAGACAAAAAAAAAUUAGAGUAGAUAACAUACUAAUAACAGCUAAAGGAGGAAUAGCUAUUAAAACGGAAUCAACUGCUGAUCGACAGGCAAUUUUUACUAAUCAACAGCUACAACAAGCUCGGUUCACGGCAUGCAUAGCCACUAAAUGACACCCUAGUUUGCUAAUCCUCAGAACACCGAAAGAACGCCUACACAAAUUGCAGAACAACUCGUUGCACAUAACAGCGCAGAAGGAAUAUGGAUGCCAAACGCAGUGAGACCUCUUUUCACUGUAAGAUACGGAGCUGGCACAAGACAAGAUUCUCAAUUUGUGCCCUGGGUCGUGGAGGUAGACCCGAAAACUUGGAAAUCCGCCAUCGACAGGGGAAAAGUGUAUUUAGACUACCAGUCAUGUGUAGUGAAAGAAUACUCUGGUGUUACGCGUUGCUACAACUGCCAGUUAGUUAUACGGACACGUUGCAGCCAACUGCCUGAAAAAAGAGCCGACUUGUGGUAUAUGUGCUUCAAAUCAUGACACCAGAAGCUGUGACAGGUCAAAAGUAAAGUGCGCGAACUGCCUGAAUCAAGGUCUCAAUAACAGCAAUCACCAUGCAGGCUCAAAACUGUGCCAAAUUCAUAUGAAGGCUCUCACUAGAGCACGGAACAUAACGGAUUAUGGAGAUGAGACAAACACCACGGACAUAACAAAAAAUACAAUAACGGUACAUCAACCCAGCAAAAUAGUCGAGCAUAAUUUAAUAGAUAUGGACACUGACAACACACAAGAAAACACUGCACCAAACGCACAAUGAUCGAUAUCAACAGGGAACAUAUACGCAGCACAAUUGGCCCAAGUAUAGACCCAAUAAAAUUUCUAAAAAUUGCUCAACUAAAUUGUCACGGCUCAGAAAUUGUCAGUUGCGAGGCGAGAGUCCUAGCUCAAAACCAAGAAAUAAGCAUUCUCUUGGUCCAGGAACCGUGGCGUCAGGGCAUCGACAGAGCCAUGGGCUGUAUAGCAAGGGUGGUCAGAUGGAAGGAUCCUGUCCGAGUUAGGGCAGCGAUUUACAUCACGGACAGAAACAUUAAGAAGCUUGCUGGAAAACAAUCAAGACAUGGCAUGUUGCCUCAUCGAGUGGGCUGGCGAGCAAAUUAUACUCGCAUCUGUCUACUUUGACAGACGCCGAGAUUUUCAGGAGGAUGUGUAAACCUUCUCUUCCUCUUUAAUAAGAAUCUGAUGAUAAGCCGAUUUUAAAUCGAUACUACUAAAAACUUUAUACCGUGCCACAUUAUUGACGAUUUCUUCGAUUCGGGGCAGAGGGUAAGCAUCGAGUUAACCUAUUGAUAGUUUUGGAAUAGUCGACGACCAUACGCUUUUUGCGGUUAUCGGUGCUAACGAGUGCUUGCGCCCGCCACGGAGACACACUUUCCUCUAUGAUGCCUUCCUUUAGGAGUCGAGUUAUUUCUUCACGGAUAAACUUUUUAUCGUGUUCCGAAUAACGCCCGCUACGGGUUUAACAUCGGGUGUCAGAUUGGCGAAUAGUGACACAGGAGUUACUUUCGCGGCCUUUAUACUACAAACAGUGAUUGAUUCUUUAUUCCCGCCAAAGGAAAGGGCUACGCUACGGUGCUGCCUCAUUAUAUCGUGACCAAUGAUUGCAUCUGCACAUAGCUCCUGUAGAACGUUUAGUUUUGCAUGGUAAUAGUGGCUCUGAAAUCUAAGAUUAACCAUACUAAACCAUUUAAUUUCUGAUUUAGCCGAUUUGGUUGCCAGACUUACUUUACUGGUGGCCUUAGUCAUGGGUAAUUUGUGAUAUUUUAAAUAAUCAGCAUUGAUAAAACUUUCAGUGCUGCCAGUGUCCAUUCAUUAAUUUCGACCUUAACAAUAGCUUUCGAAAGAGAAGAUGGGGCGGCCGCUAAAAUAGAUGCGGAAGUUUUUCUUUGAUAUUGAUUUUGUCUCUUAGCAGUUAUGCAGACUUUAGAAAAGUGACCCUUUUUCUUACAGAAGUGGCAAGUAGCCUCCCGAGCUGGACAGAUAUUACGUGAAUGCUUGUGAUUACCACAAAAGAUGCAAGUUGAUGAUACUGUAGCAGCUGUAGGUGAGUCAGUUGGAGUGCCGGAAGUGAUUUCAACUUCUUCAGUUAGUUUACUCAUAGAAUUGACACUUGGGGGCUCUAUACCGGAAAUAAGAUUGCGAUUGUUUUUGAGCCAUGUCGAGGCCCAGUUUGUACCCUCCCACCUGGCCUGAUCGAGAGCAGUUUGUAGAGUAAGUUGAGAGUUUUCUAACAGUCUCAGGGGGAUAUGAUUUGAUUGCAUACCCGAAAUAAAGGCAUCACGAAUAGACUCAUCUCGAUGUUGCUCGGCCGUGACUGAGCAAAAGUUGCAGUCUUUACUGAGUACUUUUAAAGCUUGUAAAAAUUGAUCUAACGACUCACCGGGUAGUUGUCGUCUUGUGGCUAGCUGAUGUCUUGCAAAGACUUCAUUGCUUCUUUUGACAUAUAACGAAUGUAAGGUAAAUAUCGUCUGAUCAUAACUUUUACAUUCUUCGAUAAGUUCGUAUACAUCAGGAGAUAUAAGAUUUAUAAGAUAAUCCAACUUUACUUCUUCAUCUUCGACUUGCGACCUUUUGAUAAAUGAUUUAAAGGUUCUAAACCAGUGAUUCCAGAGUUUAGAGGCGUUAGAAGCGUCUGGUUCUACAUUGAAUCUUUCCGGUUUAAAAGUUUCCAUUUGAUGUUUCGUAGACAUACUUAUGCUAAUUAAAUUGUUAUAAUUGAAAACACCUUAUGAGAAAUUAAGGCUUUAAUUAGCAUAAGAAAUACAUGUAGUAAAGAAAACAACACACUGCCAAAAUGAUCAACAACAUAAAGCAAAUAGACCAUUUUAGUUUAUUUUUAUAUUUCCUUUUCCUUCGUUAACGUCCAUAAUAAUUAACUUCCUUUCCAAUAUUGAAUAAACCCCAAAAAACAAAUCAUACAAAAACAUCAGAAUACAACACACGAAACCAUUAUGUGACCACAAGAAGAGGACCACAGUUUAUGACUCUGGGGUUCUUCAAUCUGUCUUUUCUUCAUUUGUUAUAUUCAAUCGGCUGGUAGCGGUUUAAUAUUUUACAACUUGAUGUUCUUCACAACAGCAUUUAAUAAUGUCGGGGCUUGGCUCACCCACUUCGAUCUUGCACCGAACUUUAGUGGAUUUCUCAUCGGGUUUUCCAAAACGAUCGGCAACAUACCAGUAUUAUUGGGGCGUAUGUUCAUGACCAGUGUGCUGAUGAUUGACAUGCAGGAGAAAGACUGGUGCUUAUAUUAUUUCUUUGCUGGUGUGUCCCUACUAGUUGGAAAUUUCAUGUAUAUAGUCCUAGCUAAUGACGAGUUGCAGAAAUUUAACAAGAUAAUAAGCCUUGAUAAUGGUGCGUAUACUUACGACCAGUAAUUAACAUACACUCAUUAUCACAAUUAUUUUCUUUAGGGGACGAUUCUACGACGAAGUUAACUUCUACAAACUAAAACAGUGAAA